AUUCUCCUGAGGAGGGGUUCCAAACCUCAGCCCCCGCCUCCAAACUCCCGCUUCCACCCUCUCGCUCUCAGAGAACGCCGCUGCCUCCUGCUUCACUGAGAGACCCGAAGCCACAGGUCAGCCUCUUGCUCGCUUUCCUCCCGGGUCUCCCACACUGCCUUUGACAGAGCAGAAGGACACGUGAGUUCUGUGCUAGCCGUCCUCUCAGGUGGACCCCAGUGAUCCCCGCCUGCUGGUGUUCACGCCGUUUGUCGUCCUCCCACACUGUCCCAGGAUUAACGCGUACAAACAGAACUGAUGGUAAACGACGCCAUCACACCAACGUUCGCUUACGAAAGGCACAGCAGCGUCUAUUUGGGCUUCUGCUUUCUUACACGCUCUUGGAUCGCUUGCCCUAGAAACCUUGUCAUCAGCAGCCCUAUGGGGAGGCCUGUGUGGUGAGAAACAUAAGCUCCUUGUCACCAUUCAGACGCAGCUGCUCCAGCUCCAGUCAAGUCUUCAGAGACUGUAGCUCUGGCCGCCAGCUUAACUGCACCCUCCCAAGACAUCUGGAGCCAGAACUACCCAGCUAAGCAGCUCUCAGAUUCCUGACCUUCAGAAAUUACUUGAGAAUUUGUAAAGACGAGAAAUUAGAGAGAGAGUGUCGAAAAAACUCUUUGGAGAAGUCUAGCUACAAAAAACAAAGAAAUAUAGCUUUGCAGCUAAAGCAGUAUGUGGAGUCCAGAAGAGUUUGUUUAAAAUGGGAGACAAUUGAGUGUGUUUGUAAACAAAUGAAAAUGGAUCAAAUGAAGGGGAAAGAUCGAUGGUACGGAAAAGAGAGGAAAGAGCCUAAGUGACUGUCUUUAACAAGGAUAGGGCUUUGAUAAGGAAUAAGGGUUCACAGCACACGUGGAAAAAUAAUUCCUUGUGGGAAGGAGAGACAAACUUCUAUUCUUUCAGGAAAGGAGAACAUGAUACAGACAUAGAAGUUUGAGAGGAAAGGCUGAUGAAAGUCCUUUUUGUUGACUUUUGUUUUCUCAGUGAAUUUGAGGAGCAGACUUCAGUGGAAGUCUAAGAAACUGGAAGAUGUAAAUCCAUGCAGCGUAUGAAAGAUUGAGCUUACCAGAAAGCAGCAGUCAGGGAGAGUGCAGAAUUGAACUGGCACUGGAGGGGGUGAUCGGGAAGCGACAGUUUCGACCUGGCUGUCAGGCAGCAGCACUUGCUGUGUGGGCAUAUGCAUGGAGGUGGGACAAGGCCGGACCUACACGGAGGAGCUAGAGUGACGACUCCAUUAUAUUAAAUACUAUAUGAUCAAAAUUAUCAUGGGUUCAAAGUGGAUGAGGAGGAGGGGAAUAAAGACACAAGAGGGCGGAGGGGUAGAGAGAACAUGGGUUAAAGCUCUCAGAGUCUUCUUAGAACUGUUUCUAUAGGUGACCAAGGAGCUAAACAGGAAAGACGUUCCUCAGAGAAUGAGAUACAUGAAUUUACUGUGAAAUUUGGAUUUUAAAAUUGAAGCAGUGAGAGAAUACGUAGCUGACUUGGAGUGGAAGGAAUACUAACUGAGGAUGAGAUGGCUAAGACAUCAGAGUAUUGGCUAAGUCAGCUACAGGACCCUGAUGGUGCGGAAAGCUGAAGAGCAGAUAAAACACCUGAUCAGGUUUGUAUUUUAUCAAUAGAAACAUCCCAGCUACAACAAGGAUGAUAGAUCUGAAAGGAUCAAGACUGGAGAAAGGGAGACCAUUCCUGCAAACCUGUAAGAUCAUGGCGGUUCAGAUUAAGAUGGUGGGAAAGCGGGAAAGAAAGGGACGUUUUCAAGAGAUGCUGAGAUGGCAGAAGGGCUCUGGGUUUUGUGGCAGGAGGUGCGAGUGAGGAAGGAGUCAAGACACCAAGAUAAGGUAACUGAGGCAGAUGCUCACACCAUUCUCUGGACAAGGGGAAAGAGAACGGUGUGAGCCAUCUGCCUCAGUUACCUUAUCUUACUGCUCUGGGGACCACCUAAACUGGAGAUAAAUCACCUAAUCAGUAUGGAUAUAAAAAUAGUACAGCAAUGACAACAAUUAAUAUCUAGAGGUCAAAAUUCCAGCUAAGGUUUAGAACUCAAAUGUUGAUAAUACAUUUCCAUGGUUUGAUACAGUUUCUAUAAAAUAGUACCACACAGAGAAGUCUUUUAAGUCUAGAAGAAAAUUUAAAUUAUUAAUAAAUUUGGUCUGUACAUAAUUGCUUUGCCUGAAGAUUAAAGGACUCCCAAACAUCAUAAAGAUUAAAUAUUAAAAUAAGUUACUUCCAUUUCUUGAUAGAUGGGUCAAUAGCUCGUUUUUAAAUUUGCAUUUAAAAAAUCAGUUAAGAAGCAUAACAUCAGUGCAAUUUGAUUGGACUAAUAUUUUGAAACUCUCACUAAUGAAAUUAACAUGGUGCCCCACAAUACACAACUUAAAUAUUUAAAAACUGAAUAUAUAACUUUGUUACAUGCUGUUUUCUCAAUGACAAGUUGAUGUUGUGAGCACAGGUUUUAGAAACAGUUGUGUUUCUAAAAAAGUUACUUUUAUAACAUCUUUCAUUUGCUGACUAUUAACCUUCUGAAUAUAAUGGAAAAGUCAACCUGCAUAGUAAGAAUUUCUGAUUCAUUCAAAUAAUAACCCAAUAUCCAUGUUAAUUACUGUGAUUUAAUUAUGGCAUCUUCCCCCUUUCCAGAAUAUUUAUGAAUUAUUAUUUGUGUAAUCCCAAGGUAUGUUAUUAAUGCAAAUGAAAGGACAGUUUAGUUAUAAAUAUUAAUGACCUAGGCAAAGUAACUUUGGGCCUGGAAUUUUAUAACACAGUCUAUUUUUGUCUUUAAUUCCUCAUAUUGCUUGAUUAUAGAUGUUUCAAUCAGGCAUAGAUUUUGUUUUAUUCUCUUUGAUGGAAGGUUAGAAAUAAUAGUAUUAUAAUAAUCAAAUUUUUUAAAAUACAGCAUAAUGUAAUCUGUGGUAGUUUUUGAAAUUUCCAUUUGGUUGUAAAAUAUGUUCUCCUGUAAUAAUUAAGUACAUAAUGAAUUUAAGGGCUAAAGAACAGCUGCUUUAUAACAUUUACAAGAAGUAAUUUACAUUUCUGAGAGGAAGUAAGAAAUUUUUCACACAAAUGUAAUUAGAAUCCGCUGGACCCCUUUUCUAUUAGUCUUUUAAAGGCAGGUUUCUCUGAUACACAUUUUUCAAUCACUGUUAAAGAAACUCAGUACUUUCCUUCUCCACUUGUAAUAUAAGUGUUUAAGGGUAUAUGAAAUUCUUCAGGCACUUUACUUUCGGGUCUACAUGAUGAAUUUUCAGGGUGACUAUAACUACUGUAGCUUCAAUAAUUCAUAACUAAUUCUCAAUUAUUAUCUUAUGUAGCUUUAAACACGGAAGUAUAUUCUAGGAAAGUCUGCAAAUAAAUAUUCCAUUUACCA
This is a non-coding RNA of Odocoileus virginianus texanus, 3397 nucleotides long. NCBI's taxonomy places the organism in Eukaryota, Metazoa, Chordata, Mammalia, Artiodactyla, Cervidae. The record is from RefSeq and is a predicted model, not a curated record.